CAAGAAGCAAACAAGAACUUUGCAAAAGAGAUUGGUCUACGUGUUAUUCAUAUCUGUCUUCCUGAAGGCAGCACCAAGGAUGAGGUAACUUUUAAAUAUAGAUAACCAUAUGAAAGUUAAACCAGUGAAGGAAUGUACAGUAAAAGAUGACACUAUUCACAGCUGGCCUCCUCGUGCUUGGCAAGUUUGAUAAUCCUGCAGGCUUGAGAAUUCUGUGUACUGUUUUGUUUUUCGGAAUACUUUGUUCUUAAAAUGUUACUGCCUUGCAGUGUAACCUCGAGAACUGCUUCCAGAUACAUUGAAAGGAACUUUCUGUGAAGUUUUGUAGAUUACAGAUAGUCAUCUACCCAUUUAAGAAGAGUGGGCUUUUGAAAUAAACGAAUACAAUUUGUUGUUGGUAAAUGUGUUUUAUCUAUUGAGUAACACGGCAUGAAAUAGGUAAAAUCCGGUGACUAUUUGGCAGGAGUUGCAGUUACUUUGAAGCAGUAUCUUAGAAGUGAUAUUUAAAGUGGAGCUCUGUAUUUAAAGAGAAAUUUGGGUUAUUUCUGUUAUUUAAAGGAAGUUACUUCCAAUAAAAUUCAUCAUGGUUUGCUUAC
Molecule: non-coding RNA, 596 nt
Organism: Cyanistes caeruleus (blue tit)
Lineage: Eukaryota; Metazoa; Chordata; Aves; Passeriformes; Paridae
Source: RefSeq, a predicted model, not a curated record